GAUGAACGCUGGCGGCGUGCCUAACACAUGCAAGUCGAACGAAGCGCCUUACCGGAUUCUUCGGAUGAAGGUCUGGUGACUGAGUGGCGGACGGGUGAGUAACGCGUGGGUAACCUGCCCUGUACAGGGGGAUAACAGCUGGAAACGGCUGCUAAUACCGCAUAAGCGCACGAGGAGACAUCUCCUUGUGUGAAAAACUCCGGUGGUACAGGAUGGGCCCGCGUCUGAUUAGCUGGUUGGCAGGGUAACGGCCUACCAAGGCAACGAUCAGUAGCCGGUGUGAGAGGAUGAGCGGACACAUUGGAGCUGAGACACGGUCCAAACUCCUACGGGAGGCAGCAGAGGGGAAUAUUGCACAAUGGGGGAAACCCUGAUGCAGCAACGCCGCGUAAGUGAAGAAGUAUUUCGGUAAGUAAAGCUCUAUCAGCAGGGAAGAUAAUGACGGUACCUGACUAAGAAGCUCCGGCUAAAUACGUG
This 477-nucleotide ribosomal RNA is filed under the name uncultured bacterium. Its description in RNAcentral is "partial 16S ribosomal RNA". It matches the Rfam family "Bacterial small subunit ribosomal RNA", at positions 28 to 507 of the family's 1533-position model. The record is from RNAcentral.